GUGUUUUCCAGUGAAAAAGGUGUCUGAUAAAAAGACUUAAAAGGGAAUUUGGUGAAAGUCCAAAGCUGUCCCCGCAACUGUGAAUGCUGAUGAAAUAAGGAGAUCCACUGUGAGUAAACAUCAUGGGAAGGCCUUAAAGUAAAAAGAAGCAUAAGUCAGGAGACCUGCCUUUUUUAUGUCGUUUUA
Molecule: non-coding RNA, 186 nt
Filed under: Priestia megaterium
Lineage: Bacteria; Bacillati; Bacillota; Bacilli; Caryophanales; Bacillaceae
Also listed under: 1 other name
Source: RNAcentral